CUAUAUCAACAGCAGUUACUGAUUCAGUCACUUUCAACACUUUCUAUUACAAGAAACUCAAUUUGGAGUAUCAAACAGUUACAACUGAAACUGGGACAUGCAUAAAGAACUCAUCUGACCUUCCUAAAUUUCAAGCUCUGUUUCUCUUAAUCUGAAACAUCAUGUAUUUGAGACAAUACAUUUAUAUCUUCUGAAUCUACAGCUCACAUGAUCCUUGAAUUAAAUGUUUGCAUGAAAACCAUCUCCUGGCUCCUAUUCUGGCACCAGAAAACUGUUUUAAGCAUCCAGCUGAUAAUUUUUGCACUCCCAGUGA
Long non-coding RNA from Mauremys reevesii (Reeves's turtle), 313 nucleotides. RefSeq lists it as uncharacterized. The transcript is spliced from 3 exons. The record is from RefSeq and is a predicted model, not a curated record. NCBI's taxonomy places the organism in Eukaryota, Metazoa, Chordata, Testudines, Geoemydidae.